AUGAAUUGUGUGCAAGAAGCAGUGCAAAGAAAAGGAAAUGGAGCCGAAGGAUCAUCGAUCAUGGAAGGAUUAUGGAAUCUCAGCCCUAGAAAGGACCUUAGAGAUCAGAAGGAUGAGGCGAAGCAUGUGCAGUGGUCCAUCCUGUGGCUACUUUGGGGAACAUCUCUGCCUCUAUUACCAUCUCUAGGCAUAAUCUGCAGAUCAAUUGUCCUCUUUGUACAAAUAUUAAAUUAACCCAGGAAUCAAAUGUGAGUGACAGUAAGGCCUUGAUUAACCAGAAUGCUUUGGGAAUGGAGCAUUCUAGUUAAUUGAAUUUUCUGGUUGACCUGUAACAGAUCUUUUAAAAAUGUGCAUGCCUUUGGAAGUACAGUAUGGUGAGCCUUAUUCUAAAGCUUGAGAUAUCUAUAAGCCAUAAGGGUCAACAUUCUGCAAAGUCAUGUCCAGCCUUCAGUAUUGCAGCUAAAGGAGGCUAAAGAGAACAGAUUGACUCUAUCCAGAAUCCAUGAUAUACCCUGAUCAAAUUCUUUUUUAAACAAAUGUUUAUUUAAAAAUAAAAUCUGUGCUCUGAAUGCUUUUGUUUUUCUC
RNAcentral lists this long non-coding RNA (585 nucleotides) under Monodelphis domestica (gray short-tailed opossum). Its description in RNAcentral is "lncRNA (ENSMODG00000036585.1)". The record is from RNAcentral. Lineage: Eukaryota; Metazoa; Chordata; Mammalia; Didelphimorphia; Didelphidae.